MicroRNA precursor from Chrysemys picta bellii (western painted turtle), 92 nucleotides. The record is from Ensembl. Lineage: Eukaryota; Metazoa; Chordata; Testudines; Emydidae.
GUGUCCUCAGGGUCCAGUUUUCCCAGGAAUCCCUUAGGCACUAUGACGGGGAUUCCUGGAAAUACUGUUCUUGAGGCCAUGGCUCAGCAGCU